This is a non-coding RNA of Podarcis lilfordi (Lilford's wall lizard), 4269 nucleotides long. The record is from the annotation of a GenBank genome assembly. NCBI's taxonomy places the organism in Eukaryota, Metazoa, Chordata, Lepidosauria, Squamata, Lacertidae.
AUUAAUAUCGCUUCAAAUGCAAACUGCACCCUUACUUCAGCAAAUGUCCAAGCUUAAUGGCAACACAUUAUCAAGGACCUUUAAAUGACCCCCUUUAUCUCUUCACAGGAAGGUCUUUGCAAAAUGUAUUGUUGAAGGUUGUCUGCAGUCUUUUAUACCCACCAUUCCGACUAGGAACUCACAACCUCAGCCAGACCAUGGUUGGGAAAGAAACAAAACAUUUACCGGGUUCUGGAUGAAAUGUAACAACAGAUAAGUUUUUCAUGGGUGUUCCACGAGCCAAGGAAGUAGCUUAGAAAAAUGUGAUUCUGAUUGGCACAUUGAAAACCAACCAACCAGAAAUUUCCCCAGAGUUCCUUGCCCACCAAUCUUCUCUUUAUCUGAAAAUAAUACAAUGGACAGUUAAAGAAAUUAAGAUUUGACACUUGUAAGAUAAGUGUGAAGGGAAACAAGGACAGUGGUGAUCCCUUCUGUGAUUCUGCAGACUCAGUUCUAAGUCUGUGAUCAUUCUUUAUUAUAAUAAGUCUAAAUGUUUGGUGUGGACAACAACUCGAAGGGCCCCCCCAUACUCACAAAAUUUAUAUUGUAUAUUUUUUUGUAGCAGAUACUUACCGCGUUUACAUCUCUACAAAGUGAUAAAGUACUAUGUACUCUAGUGGUGCUAUGUAAGAACAAACACACAAACAAUACACUUUUUACUAUUUUCUUUCCUUCUGAGAGUAAAAUUUACACUUGUUCCCAAUUUGUUUGUGUUCGACAUAUUUCUGGAUGUUUGAAGUGGGUGGUAGUAUUGAGCAACAUAAAAGGGAAUAUGUUGAAUUGAGAAGCAAGUGCCUGAAUGUUUGCUGAAGAAAACAGAUCCUGCCAAUAGGUUCAAUGUCAGAUUGCUUCUCUGCAAAAAUAAAAUAAAAUUGCAAAGUGCUUUCAAGAAUGAGAGAGCUGACAAAAGCUUCAAUACUUUCCUCACUUACUUCUUUUCGGAACCAUCCUUACCCACUUGAAGAAGGUAAAAAUGGAACAAAUUCAGAGUUUAUAUUAUUUUCAGUAUUUUCCCCAGCCAUUUUCUAUCUCUGCUUAUUGGAAAAAAUGAACACCAGACCUGUUGAGGGCAUGGCUUAGGUGCAGCUCUUUUGAAAGUGAAUUCUGACACUGAUGAGUUUCAUGUAUGGAGGUUUUCUCUGCCUUCGCCUAAGCCUAAUAGUCUGUCUUCUUUAGCCAAGAUCAGAACGGUGUAAAGUAAUGGAGCAGUUAUGAAAACUUCUGCACGAAAACUUUGAUAUACAGAAUUCUAUCCAACAUUUGGCAACAAUCUAGGAUAUUCUCACAGAUACUCCCCAGCAAUGCAUUCAUCCCAGUCAUAUUUGGACACUCUUUUAUUUCCCUGAACACCUUCCUGUGUCACAUCUUGUGCAGUGUACCAUAUACAGAAUUGGAGAAUAUUGCAGAUGGGGAGAGAAGAAAAGGUAGCGAAGGAUGAAUUAAAGAUUAUGCUGAAAUCCUCUUCUCAUCUCUCCAUGAAGACAGCGUGAAAUCUCUGGGUUAUCUAUAGAGUACCUAAAAUUUUGCUAAAUGAAAGGAUUUAUAUACCAAUCUCAUGUGAAAUCUUGGUAGCAUCCUGUUACUUAUUUCUCCACUGCCUGUGCUGUGGGAAGAAGAAAACAAUGUUGACUGGAAACUUGAAAACCAGUAUUUGAGGGUCAUGGGUAAAUAUAUUGGCUUGGAUCCUGAGUUUGAUUCUGUGACCAGAAGACAAAGUAUACAAAUGGAACAGUUUUCCCCCACCUGCACCCCCAAUGGAUCUUACUUGGGAGACUUGUGGGGUAUAUGUUGUGUGGGGCUGCAGAUGGAGGAGUUACUUGGUAGAAGUCAUCCCCCACCUUACAUGAGUGGAAGAGCAGGAGUCCCUAAACUUUCAGGGCCCAUGGGAACAUUUGGAACUUGUUUGUUUGUUUGUUUGUUUGCUGUAGGGAAUUUUGCUAGUCAUCUAAUGGCUACUGUGGUUCUUGGGAGGCAUGCUAAGUCACAAAUUGCUGGGAGCCCUACAUGGCUGGCUGGCUGUCCACAAGUUCUCCAUGCUGUGUCUGUAUUUCUGGAAGGAAGGUGAUCAGGCAAGGCAGCUAUCUAGAAGGAGGGCGAAAUAACACAGACCCCCAGAAAGAAAGGUGUGGAAACAAACAGACUCAUAGAGAGGAUUAAUCCUGGUGGAGGGCAGGACAAAUAAUCACAGAUCACCAGAGAGGAGAAGGUAACGGAAAAGCACAGACUCCCAGAGAAUCAGAUGCUUACCACGAGCCGCUUGGGGCACAAUUCACUGUGGUAGAGUGACGUAUAAAUAAUCCAAGGUGACUAGUGGCUACUCCCAAAUCUGUGAUGUUGGGAGAAGGAAGUCUUGCUUUCUUAAUACAAACGUCUUUUUAAAAACAACUGUAGCUCUUUCUACCAUGAGUUUCACAAGAUCUCUGUUGCCUGUAGCAGAGGUGGGUUGGUCUGAGUUUGGAGACACCCCUCCACCAAAUAAUCACAUAGUUCAGAGGAAGGAGACUCUGCCUAUAACCAAGAGGUGGCAAUAUUCCAAAGAGCAGAUAUAUAGCCACCAUUAAUUGUAAAGAGUAUUGUCGAUGUACCAAAAGUUUACUUUGAACAGUGUUUUUUGAGCUGUGUUAGCUAGUGUUACUCAUGUUCUAAAUCUAUUUGCUGUAUGAAGUUCAGAGAAAACAGGUGACUCUUAAAAUCCACACAAGCCACCUGAAGGCUGCUCAUUCAUUAUCUUAAAAAGCCCACUCUCUACACGGUUUACUCCUGCUGCAGUUCUUUCAUCAAAGCCUAAUGGUUUGUUUCAAAUAAUCAAAGUAGAGUUUAUAUCACUGUCCUCAGGUGUAACUAUUUUGUUUCCAGGAGAGCAUUAUACCACAUACCGAUGUCACAAGCAAUAAAUCAGAUGAUUUUCCCCUCCCCCCUCAGCCUUAGCCAAUCUUGUUCACAUUUCUAGAACCGCAACAUUUGUGGCUUUUGGGAGGGGGGUGGAGAAUGUGCACAGAAAACAUUGUAUGUGAAACGACACUUCCAUGUGCCCCUUUUAAAUGCCAACAAAUAAACCAAAUUUAUGUGUGUAUUGCCCUGAAUAAAGUGUUUGUGCUGCUGUCUGAGAGGAAGCCAUUCCUUUUUUUUAAAUCAAUGCACUCUUUUUUUUCUUGCACCAAAUCUCAAGCCUUUAUUUUCACGGAGCAGCUUUUUUUUGGGGAUCCAUGUUCACUCCAAAAAUACAGUUUUAAAUCAACCUUCUAAACAAACCAGAAGGUUUUAGGCAACAUUAUGCCCCAGGUUAUGUUUUGGAUGACUUCAUAUCAUUGGAGCCGCCAGAAUGAAAAAGCCAAGAUGGAAAUCCAGCCCUGCGCCAUAUUUUCUACUAAACUUGUACAUUCUACUUGCACAACAUGGUUCUCAGCAGUGUUGCACCCUAUUAUGUUGGUCAUUUUGGAUUGGCAUGGGAAUGACUCUGAAGCUAUUAUUCCCUUCACCAAAGGAGACCUGGAAUGUCACGUAGGAAAUGCCUGCUAUGUACAAAGUACACUGGGAAAUGAAACUUGUCUGACUAUCAAUCAUGUCUCAUUUUCAGUUAAUGGAAUGACACAGAUAUCAGCAGUAGGAGAUUUUUGUCAGUCCUAUUAAGCACAGGGUGAGAGUUGCCUAUAUUACAGCUUAAGGGGGUAACAGGGGAAUAAAUGACACACAGGACAAAAGGCUUUCUUUACUGCAGCGACUGAACUAAUAUAAGUGUUAAGUACAAUCACCAUCAAUACCCCGUGGCAAACAGUCAAUACUCACCUUGACACGUUUUCCUUGUUCAAACCAAAGGCCUAGUUUUAUGGAUCCCUACUGACAUAGGAUGCAAAUAUAAUACUACAUAUGCAAGUUUCAAACAGUAGCAUCCCAUGAAAAACAGCUGGUACAACAAAGAUUUCCAUUUUUAUUCAUUUACCUUGUAGAGUUUGAAAUGCAAUAUAAAUUAUGACUGAAGCAAGAAGCCAGCCACACUGUAUUCCUUUGCACAAUGAUCCAUCUGCUCCUUAAAAACCCAAACUUGGUGAUUCAUCCAAGUCUGACAGGGUUUAUCUCAAGAAGGCAGGGUCUAUUCUACCAGCAUGCACUACCAGACAAAGCAGAGCAGAUAAAGUUGUGAAAUUAAAUAUGGCUUGUAAAUUUGCCGUAAAGAUGAUUAUGUCUUAUUGAACUUCCUCCUACAGAUUUAAUGCUCUAUAAACCUGAGGU